Molecule: ribosomal RNA, 301 nt
Filed under: uncultured bacterium
Lineage: Bacteria
Description: partial 16S ribosomal RNA
Rfam family: Bacterial small subunit ribosomal RNA
Source: RNAcentral
CAGCCGCCGCGGUAAUACGAAGGGUGCAAGCGUUAAUCGGAAUUACUGGGCGUAAAGCGUGCGUAGGCGGUUUGUUAAGUCUGUUGUGAAAUCCCCGGGCUCAACCUGGGAAUUGCAGUGGAUACUGGAUCACUAGAGUGUGGUAGAGGAUAGUGGAAUUUCCGGUGUAGCAGUGAAAUGCGUAGAGAUCGGAAGGAACAUCUGUGGCGAAGGCGACUAUCUGGGCCAACACUGACACUGAGGCACGAAAGCGUGGGGAGCAAACAGGAUUAGAUACCCCCGUAGUCCCUGUCUCUUAUAC